CACGUGGGGAACCUGCCCCAUAGUCUGGGAUACCACUUGGAAACAGGUGCUAAUACCGGAUAAGAAAGCAGAUCGCAUGAUCAGCUUUUAAAAGGCGGCGUAAGCUGUCGCUAUGGGAUGGCCCCGCGGUGCAUUAGUUAGUUGGUAAGGUAAAGGCUUACCAAGGCGAUGAUGCAUAGCCGAGUUGAGAGACUGAUCGGCCACAUUGGGACUGAGACACGGCCCAAACUCCUACGGGAGGCAGCAGCG
RNAcentral lists this ribosomal RNA (249 nucleotides) under uncultured Lactobacillus sp. RNAcentral describes it as "partial 16S ribosomal RNA". It matches the Rfam family "Bacterial small subunit ribosomal RNA", at positions 114 to 356 of the family's 1533-position model. Lineage: Bacteria; Bacillati; Bacillota; Bacilli; Lactobacillales; Lactobacillaceae. The record is from RNAcentral.